RNAcentral lists this ribosomal RNA (76 nucleotides) under uncultured Chlamydiales bacterium. RNAcentral's name for it is "partial 16S ribosomal RNA". The record is from RNAcentral. Lineage: Bacteria; Pseudomonadati; Chlamydiota; Chlamydiia; Chlamydiales.
AAACCCUGACGAUGCGACGCUGCGUGAGCGAUGAAGGCCUUCGGGUUGUAAAGCUCUUUCGCUAGGGAAUAARAGA